GAUGAAGAACGUAGCGAAAUGCGAUAAGUGGUGUGAAUUGCAGAAUUCAGUGAAUCAUCGAAUCUUUGAACGCACAUUGCGCCCCUUGGUAUCCCGAGGGGCAUGCCUGUUCGAGCGUCAUUUCACCACUCAAGCCUGGCUUGGUGUUGGGCGACGUCCCCUUUGGGGACGCGCCUCGAAACGCUCGGCGGCGUGGCACCGGCUUUAAGCGUAGCAGAAUCUUUCGCUUUGGAAGUCGGGGCCCCGUCUGCCGGAAGACCUACUCGCAAGGUUGACCUCGGAUCAGGCAGGGAUACCCGCUGAACUUAAGCAUAUCAAUAAGCGGAGGA
Molecule: unclassified non-coding RNA, 329 nt
Filed under: soil metagenome
Description: partial contains 5.8S ribosomal RNA, internal transcribed spacer 2, and large subunit ribosomal RNA
Rfam family: 5.8S ribosomal RNA (bases 1-120)
Source: RNAcentral